This is a non-coding RNA of Leptonychotes weddellii (Weddell seal), 2934 nucleotides long. The record is from RefSeq and is a predicted model, not a curated record. NCBI's taxonomy places the organism in Eukaryota, Metazoa, Chordata, Mammalia, Carnivora, Phocidae.
UGCACACAAGUGUCCGGUAUUUUAAACAAGGAGCAUGUGACCACCUUGCCACAUCAUUUCUCUAGCUGAGUGGUACUUGAUGUACUAAAGAGGCUGUGGGAUGUAGUGUACUUAAAUGAGUCAGAAGACUUUGAAUGGGUCUCAUCACGUUGAUUUUAGUGAUACCAUGAAAAGAAGCUGAAUUUCUGCUGAGGGCACGGUUUGUAACCUUAUAGCAGCAGAGCUUGUGGACCAAACUUUUGUUAGAAGACAGACUGGAAUAUAAACAGAAGCUUGCUCGGGUAACCCAGGUCCGCAAGGAACUGAAGUCCCAUAUUCAGAGCUUGCCAGACCUCUCAUUGCUGCCCAACGUCACAGGAGGCUUGGCCCCCCUGCCCUCUGCUGGUGACCUGUUUUCAACUGACUAGGACAGGUGUCAUGCCCCAGAUUCCCAUCUCUACCAGCAGAAAGAAGAGGGCAAGUCAUGGUUGGAAAUAACCUUGUGGCCCCUGGUUCUGUCCCUCCUUCAUCCCGGUCCCGCAGCCUCAAGAAAGAACCACAGACUCUGAUUCUCCUCUCCGUCCUCUCUUGUUGAGCACAAUUCAGAACAGUGGCGAGUGGAGUCCAGUUUAGAUUCAGAUGUGGAAGGAAUACAAACUCUCCCACUUCAUGUUUUAUGCCCCUGUCGGUUUUCCAUUCUUAGCUCUUUCUUUACACCCAAGAAGUUAUGAAAAUCAUGUGUACUUCUGGAAGCUUUCGGAAGAAUCUUGUCGCUUAUGACAGCAUUGUGUCAUGAAAGCAGCUUCUCUUUUUGAGCUGGGCUGUUCAAGUUCAGUACAGGCCUCCACUGAAGGACCCGCUCUGGAGUCAUUGACUUUCCGGGCUACCAUCCACCCUGAAGGUUGGAGGCACAACCAUCACGCAGCUUUGCCAUAAAGAGUUUGCCACAUCUCAUCCUUCCUUUCCCUUACUUCUAGUGGUGUAUAGUCAAAGGUGAGGUGAGAUGCGUUUGUUUUGUAAGCAGACUAGGGAAUCUAGCAAUAAGAUUCAACGCUGAUCUGGAACAUAAAGUCACAGUUCAGAAACAAGGGUAACAGGGAUCACAAGCAUGAGUUAAAAAUAAGUUAUUUGCUUCAGGUUCCUACAAACAACCUUCCCAGGCACCCACUGUCAGAGAAAACGUUCCUAAAAACCUGAUCUCUUGGCCCUAAUCGGUUGUGAAGGCAAUUGUUAGAAAUGGUACUGGCGGACCCCAAAAGCUAAAGGCUUACUAAGAGUCUGGGCUCUGCACAGGUGUUGCUUUUUCGACCCAUGUCUUUUGGGGAGCAGGGCUCACACUAACAUUUACUUCACUGGGCGCAUGUCUACAGUAUGGUGAGUAGACUUGAAUAUCUCCCUUGCGAACACGACACUCUGUGCAUGUUUGUCCGUUUACGCCACUGGCCACUGCACGUGUCCUUGUGCCCGGGGGAGGAGGAGUACUCUGAUCGGCGGUUACUGAAUAGCUCAUCUCGGGCAGAGGAAGGGGGGAAGUCAGGGAUUUUAAUUUUGGGUUUUAAUUCCAUUAUCAUGCCAGCUGACAUUAUGACUAUAAAAUGUACUUAAGAGAGGAUUUUUACCUUGCUUUUAGUGAAGCUUAGGCCUGCUAACUGUAAAUCAUUCUGAUUUGGCAGGCUUAUUUUUGACAUUGGAAGGGGCAGAAAAAAAUUUGCCCCAAGAGUAUAAUAGGAGUCAGAGCCCAGAGGCUGAAAUCCAGAAGCUAUAAAAAGGAAUUCAGUGAAGGGGGUGGGGGGGGCUUCAGAAUCUCCAUUAUUUUGAGUUGUUAUUUUCAGGAUUACCAAAAAGCCAAUUACUUGUAAUUUUACAUGUUAAACAUGUUGAAACAUAGCCUGUGUUUUAAACGUGUGGCAGGCUUUCCUUUAAGAAGCUGUCCGGCCUGCCAUGAAGUGAGAACGACGAAAAGUCUAGCAGGUGUUCAGUUUAACUCUGUGUAGAACAUAGUAGCGUUUAAGGUGUUUUUCGGAUUUGAAUAUGGACCGUGUGUUGUUUGCUUAUUGACACUGCCUGUUGUCCUGUCAUUAUUAAAUUAAUGAGUCUCUAACUAUAAAGUUUUUCUUCCCAGAGGCCAUAGGGCAGUAGGUGACUUUACUAAAAUUGCAAGAUCAAUUCUAGUCUUCGCUGUUUCUGCACAUGCGCCCCCUCCCCAUAUGGUGUGCUGCUUUAGUCCUGUGCGUGAGCUUGCUUUGGAACAGACCCAUCUUGGACAUUCUCUGUGCUUUCACCGAGGAAGCAAAAUUUUACUAGCCAUGAAUCAAAAGGGUAUAGUAGAUGUUUGCUCUGAUCAGCUAGCUGAAAAUGUUAUAACAUGAUGGAUUUCACCCACUGCUAUGUUUUAUCUGAUUGAGUUUGACCAGCACUUGGUGCAUAAUUAUUACAGCAAGAGCAAAAAAUGAAACUGUAGCAAUUAUGUAAAUGAAUGUGUUGGCCUCCUAACACCUGUUACUAGUGGACUUCCUAUGAGGAAGUUAGUUUUGGGUUUUUUAUUUUGUUUUGUUUUGUUUUUUAAUGAAAUGCUUUUGUUUUUUAAAUCUUAAUUCUCCCGUAUCCUCCCCAAGUGUGCUUAUUACUUCAUUUGUUUAAUUUAAAUGAACCUUUCUUCUCCUUGUAUGUAUGAGGUGAUCUGGUGGGGUGGGGUGGGUGGGUUUUUUUUGUGUUUUUUCUUUAUUUAGGGCAUCCAUAGGCCUCAAAGGACCUUUCCUUUUAGGUCAUAUUCCUCAGAAAGUCUUCAUUCUUCUUUGUUUUGGUUUUUUUCUUAAAGAAUAUUUUUAAAGCUUAAAUUUGUAUAUUAAUUUAGGACUUUAUUUAGAAGUAUAGGCUGUCAUUGGCGGCAGCAGUAUAUUCUGAAAUGUCUCAUAGAUAUAUAUUUUUGAAUAAAGAUGGUGUUGUUGAAUGACA